CGUCCGUGCCGGCAUGGACGAGUUUGGCUUCGUGUCUCCCGGUGAAUCGCUUCUUGACGAUUAAAAGCCAUGUGGGCUUGUGUUUGUAGUACCGGUGCUAUGUUGUGGGUUUUCUCUGCGUUUCUGUUGGCGUGUUUCGCCUUCAGUCGAGUGAAAAAUAGCGGCUACAUUACACAACUGUGACUACGGUAGCUGUCGUACCCGCUGGUCUGUACUCUGACCUUCACUGCGCUGAAAACUGCAUUGCUGUAUCCUGGAGCUGUGGGCCAAAGCAGGAGGCAGACGGACUUUGGUGGUGGAACCCUUUUUACUGGCCCUGCAGUCUAGAGCACGUUGGGUGUUAUUGAGGUGUGCGGUGUGAUCACGUGUGGUGUGUAGUGUAGGAGAUUCCUUUACUUCCAUAUUACCCGCUGCCGUGGUAAGCCCUCAGCCCUGUUCCUUCCUGCCCUGGUUGUCUUUAUAAAUUAUAAAUGGACCCAUAGAGUAUUAAAUGUGAUGUGGCUAAUCAUUUUACACUAAUUGUGUCCGUCUUAGAACGGGGCUUGUCCCAUGUGGAAACUUUUGUAAACAAUUGUUAAUAAAAUUAACUAAGUGUUGGAA
This is a long non-coding RNA of Trichomycterus rosablanca, 600 nucleotides long. RefSeq lists it as uncharacterized. Lineage: Eukaryota; Metazoa; Chordata; Actinopteri; Siluriformes; Trichomycteridae. The record is from RefSeq and is a predicted model, not a curated record. The transcript has 2 exons.